CCUACGGGGGGCAGCAGUGAGGAAUAUUGGUCAAUGGACGAGAGUCUGAACCAGCCAAGUAGCGUGAAGGAUGACUGCCCUAUGGGUUGUAAACUUCUUUUAUAUGGGAAUAAAACGUUCCACGUGUGGGAUUUUGUAUGUACCAUAUGAAUAAGGAUCGGCUAACUCCGUGCCAGCAGCCGCGGUAAUACGGAGGAUCCGAGCGUUAUCCGGAUUUAUUGGGUUUAAAGGGAGCGUAGGUGGCUUGUUAAGUCAGUUGUGAAAGUUUGCGGCUCAACCGUAAAAUUGCAGUUGAAACUGGCAGUCUUGAGUACAGUAGAGGUGGGCGGAAUGCGUGGUGUAGCGGUGAAAUGCUUAGAUAUCACGAAGAACUCCGAUUGCGAAGGCAGUUCACUGGACUGCAACUGACACUGAGGCUCGAAAGUGUGGGUAUCAAACAGGAUUAGAUACCCCGGUAGUC
This 460-nucleotide ribosomal RNA is filed under the name uncultured bacterium. RNAcentral's name for it is "partial 16S ribosomal RNA". It matches the Rfam family "Bacterial small subunit ribosomal RNA", at positions 338 to 795 of the family's 1533-position model. The record is from RNAcentral.